UGGUAGCUCAGUCGGGUGAGCGCCCGCUUCUCAAUCAAGAGAUGCGGGUUCGAAUCCCGGCGUUGACAU
Molecule: transfer RNA, 69 nt
Filed under: Plutella xylostella (diamondback moth)
Lineage: Eukaryota; Metazoa; Arthropoda; Insecta; Lepidoptera; Plutellidae
Description: tRNA-Glu
Source: RNAcentral